RNAcentral lists this ribosomal RNA (1424 nucleotides) under metagenome. RNAcentral describes it as "bacterial SSU rRNA". It matches the Rfam family "Archaeal small subunit ribosomal RNA". The record is from RNAcentral.
UCCCGUUGAUCCUGCGGGAGAUUGCUGCUAUGAGGAUUCGACUAAGCCAUGCAAGUCUGAUAGCAAAAUCGGCGAAAGGCUCAGUAACACGUCAUUAAUCUGCCCAUAGGUCGGGGAUAACCUCGGAAAACUGAGGCUAAACCCUGAUAGGAUAUUAUGCCUGGAAUGGUUUUUAUCCUAAACUCGCGCCUAUGGAUGAGACGGCGGCCGAUUAGGCUGUUGGUGAGGUAAAGGCUCACCAAACCAUUGAUCGGUACGGGCCCUGAGAGGGGUAGCCCGGAGAGGGACACUGAGAAACUGGUCCCAGCCCCACGGGGUGCAGCAGGCGCGUAACCUUUACAAUGCACGCAAGUGUGAUAAGGGGAUCCUCAGUGCUUAUGUUUUACAUAGGCUUUUGUCAAGAGUAAAAAUCUUGGAGAAUAAGUGGUGGGAAAGACUGGUGCCAGCCGCCGCGGUAACACCAGCGCCACGAGUGGCAAUCAGUAUUAUUGGGCCUAAAGCGUCCGUAGCCGGUUUGAUAAAUCUCUUGUGAAAUUGUUGGGCCUAACCUAACGAAUGGCUUGAGACACUGUUAGACUAGGGACCGGGAGGAGUCAGAGGUAUUCUUGGGGGAGCGGUAAAAUGCUUUAAUCCUUUGAAGACCACCUAUGGCGAAGGCAUCUGACCAGAACGGAUCCGACGGUGAGGGACGAAAGCUAGGGGAGCGAACCGGAUUAGAUACCCGAGUAGUCCUAGCUGUAAACGCUGUGAGCAAGGUGUUGCGUAUUCUACGUGAAUGCGCAGUGUCGAAAUGAAGAUGUUAAGCUCACCGCCUGGGAAGUACGGUCGCAAGGCUGAAACUUAAAGGAAUUGGCGGGGGAGCACCACAAGGGGUGCGGCGUGCGGUUUAAUCUAACUCAACGCAGAAAACCUCACUAGGGGCGACGGCAGGAUGAAGGUCAGGCUGAAGACCUUACUAGACAAGCCGAGAGGUAGUGCAUGGCCGCCGUCAGCUCGUGCUGUAAAGUGUCCAGUUAAGUCUGGCAACGAGCGAGACCUGUAUCUACAAUUGCUAACGACCUUUGGGAUCGAGCACAUUGUAUGGACUGCCCUGGAAACAGGGAGGAAGGCGCAGACUACGGUAGGUCUGUAUGCUCCGAAUCUCCUAGGCUACACGCGCGCAACAAUGGUAGGGACAAUGGGAUGCUACCCCGAAAGGGGACGCUAAACCUCUAAACCCUAUCCCAGUACGGAUUGAGGAUUGGAACUCAUCCUCAUGACGACGGAAUCCCUAGUAAUCAGAAGUCAUUAUCUUCUGGUGAAUAUGUCCCUGCUCCUUGCACACACCGCCCGUCAAACCAACCGAGCAGGGUUUAGAUAAAAUUUAGUUUUCUUGAUUAAAUUGAAUCUAAGCUCAGUGAGGUGGGUUAAGUCGUCACAAGGUA